UGGGGAAUCUUGGACAAUGGGCGGAAGCCUGAUCCAGCCAUGCCGCGUGAGUGAAGAAGGCCCUAGGGUCGUAAAGCUCUUUCGCCUGUGAAGAUAAUGACGGUAGCAGGUAAAGAAACCCCGGCUAACUCCGUGCCAGCAGCCGCGGUAAUACGGAGGGGGUUAGCGUUGUUCGGAAUUACUGGGCGUAAAGCGCGCGUAGGCGGACCUUUAAGUCAGGGGUGAAAUCCCGGGGCUCAACCCCGGAACUGCCUUUGAUACUGGGGGUCUUGAGGUCGAGAGAGGUGAGUGGAAUUCCGAGUGUAGAGGUGAAAUUCGUAGAUAUUCGGAGGAACACCAGUGGCGAAGGCGGCUCACUGGCUCGAUACUGACGCUGAGGUGCGAAAGUGUGGGGAGCAAACAGGAUUAGAUACCCCCGUAGUCC
RNAcentral lists this ribosomal RNA (424 nucleotides) under uncultured prokaryote. RNAcentral describes it as "bacterial SSU rRNA". It matches the Rfam family "Bacterial small subunit ribosomal RNA", at positions 355 to 796 of the family's 1533-position model. The record is from RNAcentral.